Haliotis rubra (blacklip abalone) is the source of this 1744-nucleotide long non-coding RNA. RefSeq lists it as uncharacterized. The record is from RefSeq and is a predicted model, not a curated record. The transcript has 2 exons. Lineage: Eukaryota; Metazoa; Mollusca; Gastropoda; Lepetellida; Haliotidae.
GACAACAACUUGUGGUGAGUUAUGACCAUUGUAUGAACUUUUACCUGUGAUCUCUUCAUACCUGGAGGAUGCUGCACUGCUUUUAAACUUUUGGCCAUUAUGCCUUAGUUCUAAAUAAACAUGAUUAUCUGUCAUGAAAGAUAUAUCUAUUUCAGAUGUGGACCUUACAUGUGUAGGAACUACUGGAGAAUGCAGGAGCCCUACUGAACUGUUUAAAGCAGGGAACCAAAGGAGGUUUUAAUUUAUCCACGCCUGAUGGAUAUCUCGCAUUCGUCUGCAGUGCAUCACAGCUGUACGAAAGCUGCACUAAGACAGCCUAUGGUUCCUGUCCGAAGAGAACUGCAGAGGUCCUGGUAGAAAUAGACAAGUUAACCAGACCGGCUGGCUGUGACGCUUGUGUCUCCCAGCCGUCUCUCCUCCUGUUGGCCUCAGUGCUGGCUUUCAUGAUGGCUUUGUUCAAGUAGAUACCCAGGCAUUCACCGACACAGUUAUGCUUGUACUGUUAGUUUCAUUUGAACAUAUUUCAAAACAGGGAAAGCGAAAAAUGUUGACAUAACAACAUAGCCACAGACUGAUCGUUUCUUUAAUCUCAUAGAGGUAAGAACUGCGUGCUGCAGUUUGCUGGGCAGUAGAUAGCAUCGGGGUGGGUGGGGUGGGGGUGGGGUUGGGGUUGUGUGUGUCCGUUAUCCUUCCCAUAUCUGUCAAUGUAUCGGAUGCUACCAACUGGGAGUCAUGGUUGUUUGUUUAUUAUAUCAAUAAAGGAAGGGAGAUCAACAUAUGGCAAUGACAUUUUGCACAACCUGUUGGUGAACUCGAAUCUCUCCCCCUGUUUCGAUUUCAGGUGUUCCCGGUGUGUUGUAACGUCUGGUUUGUUGUAUGCAAGGGUACAAUUGAUCAACGAGGAAUGUCAGGGUUAAUGAUUGGUUUAAAGUACAGGUAUGAUCUCAGUUACUUGUCUUUGUCAGUACAUAACGAUAUAUCGUAUCCUUUUGUAGAGGCCAGUGUACUUGUAGGAUGCUGUUUUCACCAUACGUUUGGCCUGGUCCCGACUCCGUUAUGUACUGACCCGAGUGACCAACGUCCUGCAACUGGUAGUACUUGGAUUAGUGUACGCAUGUGUGGAAGUGCGGCAUCUAUAUAAAUAUAUCAUUGUGUGGUACUAUCCAGGAUCCGGGUGUUUCACUGUUUUGAAAUAUGUUCGUCCGCUUUUCUGCAGUAAUUUUAAGUGCUUAGUAGUUAGAAAAUUCUAAGUUUGUAUCCAGUUCCUUUGAUUUUUAAUGUACUCUACAUCUUACACGCUUAGAACUACUUCCAGCAUCUGGAUAUAUAUCCCACGUUCCCAGAUAUCAUGAUCCGUGUUCUGUCGUGAAAGAAGUUAAAGUUUUAAUGUUUUUCAGGUAAUCCAUCAUCUCGAGUACAACUGAUGGUUUAGGAAGCCUUAGUAACUUAGUCAUUAGAGUUUACAGAAGUCAUCUGUUGUCUUCAUCCAUAUUGUGGGAUUCAGAUCGUAAAAACACCCCUGACACUCAACAUAAGUAAUGUAAUGUAUCUAUUGUCUUACAGCAAUUUUGUUUAAUUAUAUUUCAAAACUCUUCACAAUCAUUAAUUCUUGAUGCUGUGUUUCUCAGUUUCGUGUUUUGGGGACACAGGUUUCAAGAUUUGUUUCUGUUACUUCUUCAGCUCAGAUUCAGAUUGUUUCUGCUUAUAAUCAAUCAAAAAAUAAAUUGCUAUUGUUUUAGAAAUU